This 252-nucleotide ribosomal RNA is filed under the name uncultured bacterium. RNAcentral's name for it is "partial 16S ribosomal RNA". It matches the Rfam family "Bacterial small subunit ribosomal RNA", at positions 524 to 776 of the family's 1533-position model. The record is from RNAcentral.
UACGUAAGGACCGAGCGUUGUCCGGAAUCAUUGGGCGUAAAGGGUACGUAGGUGGUUAGAAAAGUUAGAAGUGAAAGGCUAUAGCUCAACUAUAGUAAGCUUUUAAAACUGUUUAACUUGAGAGAUGGAAGGGAAAGUGGAAUUCCUAGUGUAGCGGUGAAAUGCGCAGAUAUUAGGAGGAAUACCGGUGGCGAAGGCGGCUUUCUGGACUGUAACUGACACUGAGGCACGAAAGCGUGGGUAGCAAACAGG